AUGAAGUGCAAGACAUGUGCUCACAAAGUAAAUGCAAAAACUGCAUUACAUACAUGGUGUGGUCUAUCAUUCAUACCUGCGUCUCAACUCUCACAAGAAUGUUGAAGGUCGUCAGGAGGUCGUCGACCAGAAAGACCUAGGACCACUGGCAUCAAGAGAUUGAGUACUCCUGAAGAGAAUCAACAUC
Long non-coding RNA from Asterias rubens (European starfish), 187 nucleotides. RefSeq lists it as uncharacterized. The transcript has 3 exons. The record is from RefSeq and is a predicted model, not a curated record. NCBI's taxonomy places the organism in Eukaryota, Metazoa, Echinodermata, Asteroidea, Forcipulatida, Asteriidae.